GGCUUGAUAGCACAGUGGUUAGUGCGCUUGUUCUAUGUCGCGCUGAGGACCAUUUGUAAGCAGGAGAUCCUCGUUCGAUUCGGGGUCAGGCCA
This is a non-coding RNA of Mycena leptocephala, 93 nucleotides long. NCBI's taxonomy places the organism in Eukaryota, Fungi, Basidiomycota, Agaricomycetes, Agaricales, Mycenaceae. The record is from the annotation of a GenBank genome assembly.